Molecule: ribosomal RNA, 490 nt
Filed under: uncultured bacterium
Lineage: Bacteria
Description: partial 16S ribosomal RNA
Rfam family: Bacterial small subunit ribosomal RNA
Source: RNAcentral
GAUGAACGCUCGCUACAGGCUUAACACAUGCAAGUCGCGGGGCAGCAUGGGGGUUGCUUGCAAUCCCCGAUGGCGACCGGCGCACGGGUGAGUAACGCGUAUCCAACCUGCCCUUCACCACGGGAUAACCCGGCGAAAGUCGGACUAAUACCGUAUGUUGUCCAUUGACGGCAUCCGAUUUGGACGAAAGGCUUGGCGGUGAGGGAUGGGGAUGCGUCCGAUUAGCCAGACGGCGGGGUAACGGCCCACCGUGGCUACGAUCGGUAGGGGUUCUGAGAGGAAGGUCCCCCUCACUGGAACUGAGACACGGUCCAGACUCCUACGGGAGGCAGCAGUGAGGAAUAUUGGUCAAUGGGCGUAAGCCUGAACCAGCCAAGUAGCGUGCAGGAUGACGGCCCUAUGGGUUGUAAACUGCUUUUAUGCGGGGAUAAAGUGGCCCACGGGUGGGCUUUUGCAGGUACCGCAUGAAUAAGGACCGGCUAAUUCCGUG